UACGUAGGGGGCAAGCGUUGUCCGGAAUUAUUGGGCGUAAAGAGCGUGUAGGCGGCCCGAUAAGUCCGCCGUGAAAGUCCAGGGCUCAACCCUGGAAUGCCGGUGGAAACUGUCGGGCUGGAGUCCGGAAGAGGCGAGUGGAAUUCCUGGUGUAGCGGUGAAAUGCGCAGAUAUCAGGAGGAACACCAAUGGCGAAGGCAGCUCGCUGGGACGGUACUGACGCUGAGACGCGAAAGCGUGGGGAGCAAACAGG
RNAcentral lists this ribosomal RNA (253 nucleotides) under uncultured bacterium. Its description in RNAcentral is "partial 16S ribosomal RNA". It matches the Rfam family "Bacterial small subunit ribosomal RNA", at positions 524 to 776 of the family's 1533-position model. The record is from RNAcentral.